RNAcentral lists this ribosomal RNA (223 nucleotides) under uncultured bacterium. Its description in RNAcentral is "partial 16S ribosomal RNA". It matches the Rfam family "Bacterial small subunit ribosomal RNA", at positions 110 to 334 of the family's 1533-position model. The record is from RNAcentral.
UAAGUGUAGUGGGGAGUCUGCCCGAUAGAGGGGGAUAACUACUGGAAACGGUGGCUAAUACCGCAUAAUGUCUACGGACCAAAGCAGGGGCUCUUCGGACCUUGCACUAUCGGAUGAACCCAUAUGGGAUUAGCUAGUAGGUGGGGUAAAGGCUCACCUAGGCGACGAUCUCUAGCUGGUCUGAGAGGAUGAUCAGCCACACUGGGACUGAGACACGGCCCAG